Triticum aestivum (bread wheat) is the source of this 115-nucleotide non-coding RNA. NCBI's taxonomy places the organism in Eukaryota, Viridiplantae, Streptophyta, Magnoliopsida, Poales, Poaceae. The record is from Rfam.
CUACUACUCCCUCCGUCCGAAAAUACUUGUCAUUGAAAUGGAUGUAUCUAGAUGUAUUUUAGUUCUAGACACAUCCAUUUUGAUGACAAGUAAUUCCAGACAGAGGGAGUAUUAU